CCUACGGGAGGCAGCAGUUUCGAAUCGUUCACAAUGGGGGCAACCCUGAUGGCGCGACGCCGCGUGGGGGAUGAAGGUCUUCGGAUUGUAAACUCCUGUCAUGGGGGACUAAUGGCCAGGCUCAUACCCUGGUUUGAAUUAACCCCAAGAGGAAGCAGUGGCUAACUCUGUGCCAGCAGCCGCGGUAAU
Molecule: ribosomal RNA, 189 nt
Filed under: uncultured Verrucomicrobiota bacterium
Lineage: Bacteria; Pseudomonadati; Verrucomicrobiota
Description: uncultured Verrucomicrobia bacterium partial 16S ribosomal RNA
Rfam family: Bacterial small subunit ribosomal RNA
Source: RNAcentral